Molecule: ribosomal RNA, 465 nt
Filed under: Vreelandella stevensii
Lineage: Bacteria; Pseudomonadati; Pseudomonadota; Gammaproteobacteria; Oceanospirillales; Halomonadaceae
Description: partial 16S ribosomal RNA
Rfam family: Bacterial small subunit ribosomal RNA
Source: RNAcentral
CCUACGGGAGGCUGCAGUGGGGAAUAUUGGACAAUGGGGGGAACCCUGAUCCAGCCAUGCCGCGUGUGUGAAGAAGGCCCUCGGGUUGUAAAGCACUUUCAGUGAGGAAGAACGCCUGGUGGUUAAUACCCAUCAGGAAAGACAUCACUCACAGAAGAAGCACCGGCUAACUCCGUGCCAGCAGCCGCGGUAAUACGGAGGGUGCGAGCGUUAAUCGGAAUUACUGGGCGUAAAGCGCGCGUAGGUGGCUUGAUAAGCCGGUUGUGAAAGCCCCGGGCUCAACCUGGGAACGGCAUCCGGAACUGUCAAGCUAGAGUGCAGGAGAGGAAGGUAGAAUUCCCAGUGUAGCGGUGAAAUGCGUAGAGAUCGGGAGGAAUACCAGUGGCGAAGGCGGCCUUCUGGACUGACACUGACACUGAGGUGCGAAAGCGUGGGUAGCAAACAGGAUUAGAUACCCCAGUAGUC